AGACGUUUCACUCCCCAAAUCAAGUGCCGUUUCCUCCUAGUUAAAACCUCACUUACCCCUCUCUAUUUCUCCUCUAUUCUGAAUCCAAGACGCCGCAAGGCUGCUGUGAAUUUCUUCGCCAAAGUCCGCCACUACUGCUGCCUUCCCACGUUGAUUGGAAACAUGAAACCGGAACUCGACCGGAGAACCGCCACCACUCGUUGAAGACCAGCCGCAAUCUCCUCACUGCUCCAGAAGCAAACCACGACGACGAGCCAAUUGAGUCAUCUUAUUUGCCCCGUAAAAACCACGCUGAAGCAAGGAGAGGAAGCCAUCUAGAUACAUGGUCAACGUCCUGGAACACCCACAGCCGCUUGAACGGAGAGACACGUGGUUGUUGUGAGAGUUGAAAGGCCUCGAUUUACCAAAAAGGCAAGUGACAUUCAAUCCUACCUAUUUUAUAUUAUGCAUUAGUGUUUUUCAACUAGUAUGCAGGAUAGGUUUUUUGUUUUCAAAAGUGAAG
This is a long non-coding RNA of Lolium perenne, 502 nucleotides long. RefSeq lists it as uncharacterized. The record is from RefSeq and is a predicted model, not a curated record. Lineage: Eukaryota; Viridiplantae; Streptophyta; Magnoliopsida; Poales; Poaceae.